RNAcentral lists this ribosomal RNA (492 nucleotides) under uncultured Verrucomicrobiota bacterium. RNAcentral's name for it is "bacterial SSU rRNA". It matches the Rfam family "Bacterial small subunit ribosomal RNA", at positions 898 to 1384 of the family's 1533-position model. Lineage: Bacteria; Pseudomonadati; Verrucomicrobiota. The record is from RNAcentral.
AACUCAAAGAAAUUGACGGGGGCCUGCCCAGCGUUGGAGUAUGUGGCUUAAUUCGAUGCAACGCGAAGAACCUUACCUGGCCUUGACAUGCACAUAGUAGAAGGGUGAAAGCCUGACGAGGUAGCAAUACCAGUGUGCACAGGUGCUGCAUGGCUGUCGUCAGCUCGUGUCGUGAGAUGUUGGGUUAAGUCCCCGCAACGAGCGCAACCCCUGUGUCCUGUUGCCACCCCUUAAUUGGGAGCACUCUGGACAGACUGCCUCGCUUCAACGAGGAGGAGGGUGGGGAUGACGUCAAGUCAGUAUGGCCCUUACGGCCAGGGCUGCACACGUACUACAAUGCCCGGCACAAAGGGAAGCAAGAGCGUAAGCUGGAGCAAAUCCCAGAAAACCGGGCCCAGUUCAGAUUGUCGUCUGCAACUCGACGGCAUGAAGCUGGAAUCGCUAGUAAUGGCGCAUCAGCUACGGCGCCGUGAAUACGUUCCCAGCCCUUGC